AUUGAACGCUGGCGGCGUGCUUAACACAUGCAAGUCGAUCGGUAACAGGUGUAGCAAUACAUGCUGACGAGAGGCGGACGGGUGAGUAAUGCUUGGGAAUCUGCCUAUUAGUGGAGGACAACCCGGGGAAACUCGGGCUAAUACCGCAUACGCUCUACGGAGGAAAGCCGGGGACCGCAAGGCCUGGCGCUAAUAGAUGAGCCCAAGUCGGAUUAGCUAGUUGGUAGGGAACGGCCUACCAAGGCGACAAUCCGUAGCUGGUCUGAGAGGACGACCAGCCACACCGGAACUGAGACACGGUCCGGACUCCUACGGGAGGCAGCAGUGGGGAAUAUUGGACAAUGGGGCAACCCUGAUCCAGCGACGCCGCGUGGGUGAAGAAGGCCUGCGGGUUGUAAAGCCCUUUCGG
Molecule: ribosomal RNA, 409 nt
Filed under: uncultured bacterium
Lineage: Bacteria
Description: bacterial SSU rRNA
Rfam family: Bacterial small subunit ribosomal RNA
Source: RNAcentral